This 427-nucleotide ribosomal RNA is filed under the name uncultured bacterium. RNAcentral's name for it is "bacterial SSU rRNA". It matches the Rfam family "Bacterial small subunit ribosomal RNA", at positions 355 to 774 of the family's 1533-position model. The record is from RNAcentral.
UGGGGAAUUUUGGACAAUGGGCGCAAGCCUGAUCCAGCCAUGCCGCGUGCAGGAUGAAGGCCUUCGGGUUGUAAACUGCUUUUGUACGGAACGAAAAGACUCCUUCUAAUAAAGGGGGUCCAUGACGGUACCGUAAGAAUAAGCACCGGCUAACUACGUGCCAGCAGCCGCGGUAAUACGUAGGGUGCGAGCGUUAAUCGGAAUUACUGGGCGUAAAGCGUGCGCAGGCGGUUAUAUAAGACAGGUGUGAAAUCCCCGGGCUCAACCUGGGACCUGCAUUUGUGACUGUAUAGCUAGGGUACGGUAGAGGGGGAUGGAAUUCCGCGUGUAGCAGUGAAAUGCGUAGAUAUGCGGAGGAACACCGAUGGCGAAGGCAAUCCCCUGGACCUGUACUGACGCUCAUGCACGAAAGCGUGGGGAGCAAACA